RNAcentral lists this long non-coding RNA (341 nucleotides) under Sorghum bicolor (sorghum). Its description in RNAcentral is "long non-coding RNA (SBIC_LNC016576)". Lineage: Eukaryota; Viridiplantae; Streptophyta; Magnoliopsida; Poales; Poaceae. The record is from RNAcentral.
UCACAUUACCGAUACCAAAUGACCAUGUGCUUCGCUGGUUGUAGAUUAAAUGAAGGUCUGCACCUCUACCAUCAGUGGCCAAGUUAAUCUGAAUCUUAUGUGUCCACUGCGAUUAGUUUAAUCUGAAUCUUAUAUGUCUUGUUUACUUAGUUCUCCUGCUUUGUUAGCUAUUUGGGUUUAGCUAGAAAUCUAAAUCUUAUGUGUCCACUAGGAUUAGUUUAACCUCCACUACAUGUCUACAUAUAUAAUUAGAUCUAGUCCAUAGUUCCAAACACUGAAAGCAUUUUAAUUGAUGAUAUCUUCAUAUACAAACGGGGUGAAGAUGCCCUAAGCAGGCCAUG